GCUGGGUUCUGUCUGUACUUCAGAGAAGCGGUUGGUUGGUGGGAGCGCAGUUGGACUCUUUGUUUCCAUACACUUGACCUUUUCCCUGACCUGUUGGAUCAGGACGUAGUUUUUCCAAUCUGUCAGUCAAGGAUAUUGCCUGAUAAUAGGAUCAUUUGAAAUGUGGAUUUCAGGAAGCAGAGUUGAUGCCCAAGUAGCCAAAUCUGCAGCUUCUGUUGGAUAUGUUCAGACAAACCUCAUCUUCACCAUAUGUGCAUCCUUUCUCAUCUA
This is a long non-coding RNA of Peromyscus eremicus (cactus mouse), 270 nucleotides long. RefSeq lists it as uncharacterized. NCBI's taxonomy places the organism in Eukaryota, Metazoa, Chordata, Mammalia, Rodentia, Cricetidae. The record is from RefSeq and is a predicted model, not a curated record. The transcript has 3 exons.